CCUACGGGUGGCAGCAGUGAGGAAUAUUGGUCAAUGGUCGUAAGACUGAACCAGCCAAGUAGCGUGCAGGAUGACGGCCCUAUGUGUUGUAAACUGCUUUUAUCCGGGGAUAAAAUCCGUCACGCGUCAUCUUAUGUAGGUACCUCAUGAAUAAGCAUCGGCUAAUUCCGUGCCAGCAGCCGCGGUAAUACGGAGGAUGCGGGCGUUAUCCGGAUUUAUUGGGUUUAAAGGGGGCGUAGGCCGCAUGUUAAGCGUGCGGUGAAAUGCCGUGGCUCAACCCUGGCACGGCGUUGGGAACUGGCUGUCUCGAGUUGGCGGGACGUAUGCGGAAUGCGUGGUGUAGCGGUGAAAUGCUUAGAUAUCGCGAAGAACUCCGAUUGCGAAGGCAGCAUGCGGCAGCCAUACUGACGCUGAGGCACGAAGGCGUGGGUAUCGAACAGGAUUAGAUACCCGGGUAGUC
Molecule: ribosomal RNA, 460 nt
Filed under: uncultured bacterium
Lineage: Bacteria
Description: partial 16S ribosomal RNA
Rfam family: Bacterial small subunit ribosomal RNA
Source: RNAcentral